UUUAACAAUAAGUAAGUCUUAAAGUUUGUUCUAAUCAUCAGUAGGGAAACAGUACACGACCUAGCUAGGCUAGGUAGAGUUUUAUUUCUCCCCAGCUCACUUAGCCAAGAGAAGAUGAGGAUCUUCAAGCCCAGUAAGACUGACUGUAUGAGGAGAGGCUGCUUUGUCAGGAUGACGACAAAUCUCUCCGAGGAACCGGAAGCAGGGAGGAGGACCAACAGAUGAACGGAUGUCCCUGUUUGCCAGGUUUCCCAUUUCUGAUUCCUGAGAUGGAGACUGACAUAGCUAGAGGGCUGUAUCUGGAUGAGAGUGGCAAGAUGAGCGGAGACUGGUUUCUAUGGUUGAGGAUGAUCCUGCCUCUCCCAAGUUCAACUGAGAUGAAGAGCUGGAAACAGGGAUAAUGAGGUGACAGAUGGCUCUGCCAGCUAGUGAGUUUACUUUAAAAAAGAAAAAAAAAGCAUCAACAAAUAAACAGGCCAGUAAAUGAAACGUCAUAUUUUUUUUUUUAAAGUUCACCUCAGGGAGGGGAGUUCUUCUGGUGAUGUAAUGCAUUGUGAGGUGUUUUUCCCCAGUUCUAAUCUAGAAGUUUUAUUUCCUCUUUUUGCCUCUGAUUUCUAAGAUGACCCUUCCAAAGGAUGACAAAGUCCAAGUUCAAGAAAAUAUCAAAAUUAAAUCGCUUAAAAUUUGUUGAACACCCAAAAGAAGAAUUCUUACUAAUGUGACCUAGCUAGCCUAGGCCGAGAAGUUUUUUUUAUUCCACAGGAUGAAACUUCUCCAUCUGAACCCUAUGGAAAUGGUGGACAAAAGAAGAUCUCAAGCCAUUUACUUCAGGAGAAUGACAUAUUAAGAAGCAGGGACCGACAGAUGACUGAUCAGCAUGUUUGCUACAUCUGAUUCCUGAGAAGAUGAUGACCACCACCCCCAGAUGUGACUGGCUGGAUGAGGAAGAGAGGAUGUUCCAUCUUCACGAGGAUAACACCGCUCCAUCACCGCUGGAACUGAGAAACUGGAGGCAGGGAGGAUGAUCAAGAGAUGACUGGUGACUAAUUAUUUCUAAUUCUUGAGGAUAAUUCUCCCUGAGAAAUAAGUGCACAAUUUUAAUCGAUUUCACUUGUUGUUUCACAAUUGCUGAUGUAUUCCUCACUUAAAAUAAUUAUUGAAAUGACAUAAUCAGUUUAUUAUUCCAAUCAUUUGAUUUAUGCAAAAAUGGAGUUCCUGUGAAAGUUAUAGUGGCAGUGCUCCUUAACCAGUUGAAAAUAUUAGAUAUUGUAAUUUAUUAUUAUUUUUAUUUAAAGAUUUAUUUCUGUGU
Patiria miniata (bat star) is the source of this 1309-nucleotide long non-coding RNA. RefSeq lists it as uncharacterized. The record is from RefSeq and is a predicted model, not a curated record. The transcript has 3 exons. Lineage: Eukaryota; Metazoa; Echinodermata; Asteroidea; Valvatida; Asterinidae.